UACAGAGGUGCCAAGCGUUAGGCGGAAUCACUGGGCGUAAAGCGCACGUAGGCGGACUCUUAAGUCGGUGGUGAAAUCCUGGAGCUCAACUCCAGAACUGCCUUCGAUACUGAGAGUCUUGAGUCCGGGAGAGGUGAGUGGAACUGCGAGUGUAGAGGUGAAAUUCGUAGAUAUUCGCAAGAACACCAGUGGCGAAGGCGGCUCACUGGCCCGGUACUGACGCUGAGGUGCGAAAGCGUGGGGAGCAAACAGG
This 253-nucleotide ribosomal RNA is filed under the name uncultured bacterium. Its description in RNAcentral is "partial 16S ribosomal RNA". It matches the Rfam family "Bacterial small subunit ribosomal RNA", at positions 524 to 776 of the family's 1533-position model. The record is from RNAcentral.